CCCAUGAAGUUGGAUUCGCUAGUAAUCGCGCAUCAGCCAUGGCGCGGUGGAAUACGCUCCCGGGCCUUGUACACACCGCCCGUCAAGCCAUGGGAGCCGGGGGUGCCUGAAGUUCGUGACCGCAAGGAGCGACCUAGGGCAAAACUGGUGACUGGGGCUAAGUCGUAACAAGGUAUC
Molecule: ribosomal RNA, 177 nt
Filed under: uncultured bacterium
Lineage: Bacteria
Description: partial 16S ribosomal RNA
Rfam family: Bacterial small subunit ribosomal RNA
Source: RNAcentral